GACGAACGCUGGCGGCGUGCUUAACACAUGCAAGUGGAGCGACGAACCGGGGCUUGCCCCGGGGCAGAGCCGCGAACGGGUGAGUAACACGUGGGUAACCUGCCUCAAUGAUUGGGACAACCCGGGGAAACUCGGGCUAAUACCAAAUGUGUUCACUCCUUCUAAGGGGAGUGAGGAAAGGAAGCUUCGGCCUCCGCAUUGAGAUGGGCCCGCGGCCCAUUAGCUUGUGGUGAGGUAACGGCUCACCAAGGCUUCGAUGGUAGCUGGUCUGAGAGGACGAUCAGCCACACUGGGACUGAGACACGGCCCAGACUCCUACGGGAGGCAGCAGUGGGGAAUCUUGCACAAUGCGCGAAAGCGUGAUGCAGCAACGCCGCGUGGGGAAGACGG
RNAcentral lists this ribosomal RNA (390 nucleotides) under uncultured bacterium. Its description in RNAcentral is "bacterial SSU rRNA". It matches the Rfam family "Bacterial small subunit ribosomal RNA", at positions 28 to 414 of the family's 1533-position model. The record is from RNAcentral.